RNAcentral lists this ribosomal RNA (253 nucleotides) under uncultured bacterium. Its description in RNAcentral is "partial 16S ribosomal RNA". It matches the Rfam family "Bacterial small subunit ribosomal RNA", at positions 524 to 776 of the family's 1533-position model. The record is from RNAcentral.
UACGUAGGGCGCGAGCGUUAAUCGGAAUUACUGGGCGUAAAGCGUGCGCAGGCGGUUCGUUAAGUCAGGUGUGAAAGCCCCGGGCUCAACCUGGGAACUGCAUUUGAAACUGGCGGGCUUGAGUGUGGCAGAGGGGGGUGGAAUUCCGCGUGUAGCAGUGAAAUGCGUAGAGAUGCGGAGGAACACCGAUGGCGAAGGCAGCCCCCUGGGCCAACACUGACGCUCAGGCACGAAAGCGUGGGGAGCAAACAGG